Molecule: ribosomal RNA, 453 nt
Filed under: uncultured bacterium
Lineage: Bacteria
Description: bacterial SSU rRNA
Rfam family: Bacterial small subunit ribosomal RNA
Source: RNAcentral
UACGGAAGGCAGCAGUGGGGAAUAUUGCACAAUGGGCGCAAGCCUGAUGCAGCCAUGCCGCGUGUAUGAAGAAGGCCUUCGGGUUGUAAAGUACUUUCAGUCGUGAGGAAGGUGUUAAGGUUAAUAACCUUAGCAAUUGACGUUAGCGACAGAAGAAGCACCGGCUAACUCCGUGCCAGCAGCCGCGGUAAUACGGAGGGUGCGAGCGUUAAUCGGAAUUACUGGGCGUAAAGGGCACGCAGGCGGUUAAUUAAGUUGGAUGUGAAAUCCCCGGGCUUAACCUGGGAAUGGCAUUCAAGACUGGUUAGCUAGAGUCCUGUAGAGGGGGUAGAAUUCCAUGUGUAGCGGUGAAAUGCGUAGAGAUGUGGAGGAAUACCGGUGGCGAAGGCGGCCCCUGGACAAAGACUGACGCUCAUGUGCGAAAGCGUGGGGAGCAAACAGGGAUUAGAUACC